UACAGAGGGUGCAAGCGUUGUUCGGAAUUACUGGGCGUAAAGGGCGCGUAGGCGGCCUGUUAAGUCGGACGUGAAAUCCCUCGGCUCAACCGGGGAACUGCGUCCGAUACUGGCGGGCUUGAAUUCGGGAGAGGGAUGUGGAAUUCCCGGUGUAGCGGUGAAAUGCGUAGAUAUCUGGAGGAACACCGGUGGCGAAGGCGGCAUCCUGGACCGACAUUGACGCUGAGGCGCGAAAGCGUGGGGAGCAAACAGG
This 253-nucleotide ribosomal RNA is filed under the name uncultured bacterium. RNAcentral describes it as "partial 16S ribosomal RNA". It matches the Rfam family "Bacterial small subunit ribosomal RNA", at positions 524 to 776 of the family's 1533-position model. The record is from RNAcentral.